RNAcentral lists this long non-coding RNA (581 nucleotides) under Dermacentor andersoni. RNAcentral describes it as "uncharacterized LOC126524677". Lineage: Eukaryota; Metazoa; Arthropoda; Arachnida; Ixodida; Ixodidae. The record is from RNAcentral.
UUUAUCUAGGGAUCUUUCCAAGUGACAGUACGUGGUAAUAAGCUUGCACUGUUUGUACGUUUCCACCCCUUCUAAACAAACCCAUGUGGCAUCUUUAAGGAAGUUAAAAUAGAAUGAGUCGUGUUCACGCAACACAAUGCGAAUCUUCCCUGAUCUUUUUUCUUGGUAUUUGUGCCGAAUACAUGCGCCAUAUCUUGUACCAUCAAUGAUGAUUAGGAAUGAGCAGUGGAAGAGGAAUUUCUCUUUUUAUUGCGCAGCUUUCCAGGAAACGUGUGCACACACUUGGUGCCCUGCAUUCCAUAUUCCUUGCUCGAACAGAUGGCUUCAAGAUGCGGUUCAGGAUCCAGAACUGCUAACCACUGAGGCGACCACUGAGGCGACCACUGAGGCUACAACGACACCCCAAGAAACGGAAAGCUCAAAGAAACAAGAACCACCGAAAGAAGGACCAGGAAAAGAAGAAGGUGAAGGACACGAUGUUUCGCACGCUAUAGACUAUGGAAACGCGGGGUUUUAUCUCGGCUGCCGUGAUGCUAGCGGCAAAGCUUACGAAAACGGAAAGGGUUGUGUGCAUUACAUGU